RNAcentral lists this ribosomal RNA (502 nucleotides) under uncultured bacterium. RNAcentral's name for it is "partial 16S ribosomal RNA". It matches the Rfam family "Bacterial small subunit ribosomal RNA", at positions 28 to 507 of the family's 1533-position model. The record is from RNAcentral.
GACGAACGCUGGCGGCGUGCUUAACACAUGCAAGUCGAACGGUGAAGGGGUCUGCUUUUGUGGGCCCUGGAUGAGUGGCGAACGGGUGAGUAACACGUGAGUAACCUGCCCCCUUCUUCUGGAUAACCGCAUGAAAGUGUGGCUAAUACGGGAUAUUCUGGGUCUGUCGCAUGAUGGGUCUGGGAAAGAUUGCGCCUUUGGGUGUUUUUGGUGGGGGAUGGGCUCGCGGCCUAUCAGCUUGGUGGUGGGGUGAUGGCCUACCAAGGCGGGGACGGGUAGCCGGCCUGAGAGGGUGGACGGUCACACUGGGACUGCGACACGGCCCAGACUCCUACGGGAGGCAGCAGUGGGGAAUAUUGCACAAUGGGCGCAAGCCUGAUGCAGCGACGCCGCGUGAGGGAGGGAGGCCUUCGGGUUGUAAACCUCUUUCGCCAGUGAAGCAGGCCUGCUCCUUGUGGGUGGGUUGACGGUAGCUGGAUAAGAAGCGCCGGCUAACUACGUG